GGGCAUAUAUGUGCUUACAUAGUAUAAAUACCGAUCAUUGCCACGAUAAAUGCCAAGUUGCAUGCCAAGCCACUGUUUUUGAAUAUGAAGUAGACGAUACUCCGAUCGAAUUUUACGACUUUUAUGUUCCUUUGGAAACUACCGAUGAAGAUACGAAUGAAGAGUAUAG
This is a long non-coding RNA of Centruroides sculpturatus (bark scorpion), 169 nucleotides long. RefSeq lists it as uncharacterized. The record is from RefSeq and is a predicted model, not a curated record. The transcript is spliced from 3 exons. Lineage: Eukaryota; Metazoa; Arthropoda; Arachnida; Scorpiones; Buthidae.